RNAcentral lists this unclassified non-coding RNA (1072 nucleotides) under Hevea brasiliensis (rubber tree). The record is from RNAcentral. Lineage: Eukaryota; Viridiplantae; Streptophyta; Magnoliopsida; Malpighiales; Euphorbiaceae.
CACCAAGGUCAGUAGAAGGUUGACUAGAUUGUAUUGGUUGUCCAGGAGAGAGAUCAAUAUCUCUUGGCACUUGGACUGGCUCUGCCAAAGAAGCAGAUGCUCCUGUAGGAGUAUCCAUUGCAUAUGGGGCUUUCAAUUCGUCCUCAUUCACAAGAUUUUUGCUCAGCCCGGAUGUAGCAGCAGAUUCAGGAGUUGAAUCAUCAGGUAAAUUCAGAGCUUGUUGCUGCUGCUCCUCGGCUUUCAAAUGACCAACAUCUGCAUCUUUUGCACUAUUUGAUAUUACAACUUGUUGACUAGACUGUUGAUGGAAGGAGUUUGGCUGCUGUAAGGCAGAAGAUGUAACAGUAUUGAGACCAGGUGCCUGAACGCCAAGUCCCAGACUAGCUUGAGAAGAGACAGAUGAGCUUUGAGAAUUUAACUGCUGCAAUAGGGGGUUUUGUUGGGCAGAAAACUGUUUAUGAUUUCCACCAGCAAGUGGUGGCAUACCAAGAAGGGUGCUGUGGCCUUGUUGCUGGACUUGCUGAAGACGUUGCAAAAAUUUCUCCCUCUGAUCAGGUGCUAUUUCAGUUCUUGCACGAAAUUGUCCCAGUUCAUUCUGAUUUUGAAAGGAACCUCCAGGUCUCCACUGCAUGCCAGGGACCAAAGAAGGGGAAAAAACUCUUCCACCUAUUGCAGGAGCUUCACCAACAUUACUAGAGUCAACCAUACCUGUUCCAUCAUUAGUCUUGCCAGUCGGAGGCAAGAUCAUUCUAUUGCUUAGUGGGGAAGCCAAAGGUUGCACCAGUCCGCUACUCCCAAGUCUAUCAUCUGUUGAUAAAAUAUUUCUUUUUGUAACGUCCGAUGGUGAAGGUAGUGCACCGAGUGAUCCAUUGCUAGGAACUCCACCAGAACUAAGAGGGAUACUAGAUGAAGGAUGACUAGAGAGGCUACCUCUACCAAUGCCCCUAACUAGUCCAGUAUCAGCAAGAGCUGGUGACGGUCUAUGGCCAGGGAAACCUGCAAUUUCUUCCUCCUUCACAGAAUUUCCCGUUGUUGCAGGAGAUGAAGGAAUGGCAGCAGCUGCAUUUUCCAG